UCCGUAGGUGAACCUGCGGAAGGAUCAUUACCGAGUUAGGGUGCUUCUCGCGCCCGACCUCCAACCCUUUGUCUACCUGACCAGAUGUUGCUUCGGCAGGCCCGCCGCCCCGCAAGGGGUAGCCGCCGGGGGUCCUUACCGGCCCCGGGCCCGUGCCUGUCGAUGGCCCUUCUAUAAACUCUUGCUUAAAACGUGUCGUCUGAGUAAAACAAACAAAAUAAAAACAAAACUUUCAACAACGGAUCUCUUGGUUCUGGCAUCGAUGAAGAACGCAGCGAAAUGCGAUAAGUAAUGCGAAUUGCAGAAUCCGUGAGUCAUCGAAUCUUUGAACGCACAUUGCGCCCUCUGGUAUUCCGGAGGGCAUGCCUGUUCGAGCGUCAUUAUCACCCCUCAAGCCCGGCUUGUUGUUGGACGUCGGCGGCGGCCUAUAGCGCCUCGCCCGUCUCAAAGAUAAUGACGGCGUCUGUGAGGACUCCUGUACACUGAGCUUUCGGGCACGUACUAGGCUAGCACUCCAGACCCGGUCUUAGUCGCUUUAUUGCGACAACUUUACCAAGGUUGACCUCGGAUCAGGUAGGAAUACCCGCUGAACUUAAGCAUAUCAAUAAGCGGAGGA
RNAcentral lists this ribosomal RNA (616 nucleotides) under uncultured Cyphellophora. RNAcentral's name for it is "eukaryotic LSU rRNA". The stretch from base 228 to 380 matches the Rfam family "5.8S ribosomal RNA". Lineage: Eukaryota; Fungi; Ascomycota; Eurotiomycetes; Chaetothyriales; Herpotrichiellaceae. The record is from RNAcentral.